UACGUAGGUGGCAAGCGUUGUCCGGAUUUAUUGGGCGUAAAGCGAGCGCAGGCGGAAGAAUAAGUCUGAUGUGAAAGCCCUCGGCUUAACCGAGGAACUGCAUCGGAAACUGUUUUUCUUGAGUGCAGAAGAGGAGAGUGGAACUCCAUGUGUAGCGGUGGAAUGCGUAGAUAUAUGGAAGAACACCAGUGGCGAAGGCGGCUCUCUGGUCUGCAACUGACGCUGAGGCU
RNAcentral lists this ribosomal RNA (230 nucleotides) under uncultured microorganism. RNAcentral's name for it is "partial 16S ribosomal RNA". It matches the Rfam family "Bacterial small subunit ribosomal RNA", at positions 524 to 753 of the family's 1533-position model. The record is from RNAcentral.